RNAcentral lists this ribosomal RNA (505 nucleotides) under uncultured bacterium. RNAcentral's name for it is "partial 16S ribosomal RNA". It matches the Rfam family "Bacterial small subunit ribosomal RNA", at positions 28 to 507 of the family's 1533-position model. The record is from RNAcentral.
GACGAACGCUGGCGGCGUGCCUAAUACAUGCAAGUAGAACGCACAGUUUAUACCGUAGCUUGCUACACCAUAAACUGUGAGUUGCGAACGGGUGAGUAACGCGUAGGUAACCUGCCUGGUAGCGGGGGAUAACUAUUGGAAACGAUAGCUAAUACCGCAUAAUAUUAAUUAUUGCAUGAUAAUUGAUUGAAAGAUGCAAUUGCAUCACUACCAGAUGGACCUGCGUUGUAUUAGCUAGUAGGUGAGGUAACGGCUCACCUAGGCGACGAUACAUAGCCGACCUGAGAGGGUGAUCGGCCACACUGGGACUGGGACACGGCCCAGACUCCUACGGGAGGCAGCAGUAGGGAAUCUUCGGCAAUGGACGAAAGUCUGACCGAGCAACGCCGCGUGAGUGAAGAAGGGUUUCGGAUCGUAAAGCUCUGUUGUAAGAGAAGAACGGGUGUGAGAGUGGAAAGUUCACACUGUGACGGUAUCUUACCAGAAAGGGACGGCUAACUACGUG